UAUAUACUCCCUCCGUCCAGAAAUACUUGUGGAGAAAUAGAUGUAUCUGACAUAUUUUAGUUCUAGAUACAUCCAUUUUUAUCUAUUUCUCCAACAAGUAUUUCCGGACGGAGGGAGUACUUU
Non-coding RNA from Hordeum vulgare subsp. vulgare (domesticated barley), 123 nucleotides. The record is from Rfam. NCBI's taxonomy places the organism in Eukaryota, Viridiplantae, Streptophyta, Magnoliopsida, Poales, Poaceae.